AUUGAACGCUGGCGGCAUGCCUUACACAUGCAAGUCGAACGGUAACGCGGGGCAACCCUGGCGACGAGUGGCGAACGGGUGAGUAAUACAUCGGAACAUAUCCAGUAGCGGGGGAUAACCUAUCGAAAGAUUGGCUAAUACCGCAUACGAUCUACGGAUGAAAGCAGGGGACCGCAAGGCCUUGCACUAUUGGAGUGGCCGAUGUCAGAUUAGCUAGUUGGUGGGGUAAAAGCCUACCAAGGCGACGAUCUGUAGCUGGUCUGAGAGGACGAUCAGCCACACUGGAACUGAGACACGGUCCAGACUCCUACGGAGGCAGCAGUGGGGAAUAUUGGACAAUGGCGCAAGCCUGAUCCAGCCAUGCCGCGUGGGUGAAGAAGGCCUCGGUUGUAAGACCUUUGUCAGGAGAACGGUGAGUUCGUAUAAAGACUUGCUAAUGACGGAACC
RNAcentral lists this ribosomal RNA (447 nucleotides) under uncultured bacterium. RNAcentral's name for it is "bacterial SSU rRNA". It matches the Rfam family "Bacterial small subunit ribosomal RNA", at positions 30 to 479 of the family's 1533-position model. The record is from RNAcentral.